AGAUUAGUUUAACAUGUGAAAUGUCCGUAAAGUAUCAUCAUAUGAUUGGCUUUAGGGCACAUUUCCAACAAACUCCCACUUGCACUAGAGCCAAUCAGCUUGAUCAUCUGUGAUGAUACCUCUUCUGUGGUCAUUUCAUAAAUGGCUGAAUAGUAGGCCUAGACAAUGGAUAUCUAUAUGUUAUCCAUAGAAGCAACCUUGAGAAUAACAACGUCACCAUUAUACAUGAUUCUCAAUCAUGUGGUUCAGUCUCUCAUAUGAGUUCGGAUCUUGAUGAGACCUUGA
This 285-nucleotide long non-coding RNA is filed under the name Malus domestica (apple). RNAcentral's name for it is "long non-coding RNA (MDOM_LNC019570)". Lineage: Eukaryota; Viridiplantae; Streptophyta; Magnoliopsida; Rosales; Rosaceae. The record is from RNAcentral.